AGAGUUUGAUCCUGGCUCAGGAUGAACGCUGGCGGCGUGCCUAACACAUGCAAGUCGAACGAAGCACCUUACCGGAUUCUUCGGAUGAAAGUUUGGUGACUGAGUGGCGGACGGGUGAGUAACGCGUGGGUAACCUGCCCUGUACAGGGGGAUAACAGCUGGAAACGGCUGCUAAUACCGCAUAAGCGCACGAGGAGACAUCUCCUAGUGUGAAAAACUCCGGUGGUACAGGAUGGGCCCGCGUCUGAUUAGCUGGUUGGCAGGGUAACGGCCUACCAAGGCAACGAUCAGUAGCCGGUCUGAGAGGAUGAACGGCCACAUUGGAACUGAGACACGGUCCAAACUCCUACGGGAGGCAGCAGUGGGGAAUAUUGCACAAUGGGGGAAACCCUGAUGCAGCAACGCCGCGUGAGUGAAGAAGUAUUUCGGUAUGUAAAGCUCUAUCAGCAGGGAAGAUAAUGACGGUACCUGACUAAGAAGCUCCGGCUAAAUACGUGCCAGCAGCCGCGGU
This 511-nucleotide ribosomal RNA is filed under the name uncultured bacterium. RNAcentral describes it as "bacterial SSU rRNA". It matches the Rfam family "Bacterial small subunit ribosomal RNA", at positions 8 to 521 of the family's 1533-position model. The record is from RNAcentral.